This 253-nucleotide ribosomal RNA is filed under the name uncultured bacterium. RNAcentral's name for it is "partial 16S ribosomal RNA". It matches the Rfam family "Bacterial small subunit ribosomal RNA", at positions 524 to 776 of the family's 1533-position model. The record is from RNAcentral.
UACGUAGGUGGCAAGCGUUGUCCGGAUUUACUGGGUGUAAAGGGCGUGCAGCCGGAGAGGCAAGUCAGAUGUGAAAUCCGCGGGCUCAACCCGCGAACUGCAUUUGAAACUGCUUCCCUUGAGUAUCGGAGAGGUAACCGGAAUUCCUAGUGUAGCGGUGAAAUGCGUAGAUAUUAGGAAGAACACCAGUGGCGAAGGCGGGUUACUGGACGACAACUGACGGUGAGGCGCGAAAGCGUGGGGAGCAAACAGG